Molecule: non-coding RNA, 122 nt
Organism: Clostridium sp. CAG:433
Lineage: Bacteria; Bacillati; Bacillota; Clostridia; Eubacteriales; Clostridiaceae
Source: Rfam
UCAAAAAGUUUUUCUGUACCUAAGACAGUAAGAGCGAAAGCUUAAUAUUUCUUACCGAGGACAAUUACUUAAUACUUAUUUUAAGUCUUUGUCUUUAGUACAAAGACUUUUUUGAUAUAAAU